This 465-nucleotide ribosomal RNA is filed under the name uncultured bacterium. RNAcentral's name for it is "partial 16S ribosomal RNA". It matches the Rfam family "Bacterial small subunit ribosomal RNA", at positions 28 to 507 of the family's 1533-position model. The record is from RNAcentral.
GACGAACGCUGGCGGCGUGCUUAACACAUGCAAGUCGAACGGAAAGGCCCUGCUUGCAGGGUACUCGAGUGGCGAACGGGUGAGUAACACGUGGGUGAUCUGCCCUGCACUUCGGGAUAAGCCUGGGAAACUGGGUCUAAUACCGGAUAGGAGCCAUUUUUAGUGUGAUGGUUGGAAAGUUUUUUCGGUGUAGGAUGAGCUUGCGGCCUAUCAGCUUGUUGGUGGGGUAAUGGCCUACCAAGGCGGCGACGGGUAGCCGGCCUGAGAGGGUGGACGGCCACAUUGGGACUGAGAUACGGCCCAGACUCCUACGGGAGGCAGCAGUGGGGAAUAUUGCACAAUGGGCGCAAGCCUGAUGCAGCGACGCCGCGUGGGGGAUGACGGCCUUCGGGUUGUAAACUCCUUUCGCUAGGGACGAAGCUUUUUGUGACGGUACCUAGAUAAGAAGCACCGGCUAACUACGUG